This 651-nucleotide ribosomal RNA is filed under the name uncultured Bacillus sp. RNAcentral describes it as "bacterial SSU rRNA". It matches the Rfam family "Bacterial small subunit ribosomal RNA", at positions 41 to 677 of the family's 1533-position model. The record is from RNAcentral. Lineage: Bacteria; Bacillati; Bacillota; Bacilli; Caryophanales; Bacillaceae.
GGCGGGUGCUAUACAUGCAGUCGAGCGAAUCAUAGGAGCUUGCUCCUGUUGGUUAGCGGCGGACGGGUGAGUAACACGUGGGCAACCUGCCUGUAAGACUGGGAUAACACCGGGAAACCGGUGCUAAUACCGGAUAAUUCUUUCCCUCUCAUGAGGGAAAGUUGAAAGUCGGUUUCGGCUGACACUUACAGAUGGGCCCGCGGCGCAUUAGCUAGUUGGUGAGGUAACGGCUCACCAAGGCGACGAUGCGUAGCCGACCUGAGAGGGUGAUCGGCCACACUGGGACUGAGACACGGCCCAGACUCCUACGGGAGGCAGCAGUAGGGAAUCUCCCACAAUGGACGAGAGUCUGAUGGAGCAACGCCGCGUGAGCGAUGAAGGCCUUCGGGUCGUAAAGCUCUGUUGUUAGGGAAGAACAAGUACCGGAGUAACUGCCGGUACCUUGACGGUACCUAACCAGAAAGCCACGGCUAACUACGUGCCAGCAGCCGCGGUAAUACGUAGGUGGCAAGCGUUGUCCGGAAUUAUUGGGCGUAAUGCGCGCGCAGGCGGUCCUUUAAGUCUGAUGUGAAAGCCCACGGCUCAACCGUGGAGGGUCAUUGGAAACUGGGGGACUUGAGUGCAGAAGAGGAAAGCGGAAUUCCACGUGUA